CAAGGUUUCCAUAGGAGAACCCGCGGAAGGAUCAUUG
Molecule: ribosomal RNA, 37 nt
Filed under: Eucalyptus herbertiana
Lineage: Eukaryota; Viridiplantae; Streptophyta; Magnoliopsida; Myrtales; Myrtaceae
Description: partial 18S ribosomal RNA
Source: RNAcentral